Molecule: unclassified non-coding RNA, 329 nt
Filed under: plant metagenome
Description: partial contains 5.8S ribosomal RNA, internal transcribed spacer 2, and large subunit ribosomal RNA
Rfam family: 5.8S ribosomal RNA (bases 1-105)
Source: RNAcentral
GAAAUGCGAUAAGUAAUGUGAAUUGCAGAAUUCAGUGAAUCAUCGAAUCUUUGAAUGCACAUUGCGCCCGUCAGCAUUCUGGCGGGCAUGCCUGUUCGAGCGUCAUUUCAACCCUCAGGACCCCCCUUUCGCGGGGAGGGACCUGGCGUUGGGGAUCGGCCCGCCCCCCGUGGCGGCGCCGUCCCCGAAAUCUAGUGGCGGUCUCGCUGCAGCCUCCCCUGCGUAGUAGUUACAACCUCGCAUCGGAGCGCGGCGCGGCCACGCCGUAAAACCCCCGACUUUCUGAACGUUGACCUCGGAUCAGGUAGGAAUACCCGCUGAACUUAAGC